CAGUGCGGCUGGACAGCCGACCUGGGCAGGAAAGAGAGGGAGAGGCUGAGAGGGAGAGGGAGUCACAUAGUGAAAAACCGAAAGGCCAAGAGAGGCCCCUAGAGCAAGUUUUGGAGCAAGACAGAGGAAGAGGGGACGUGUCUACAGAUUGUGCCAGACCUUUGACCCCAGCUUCCCGGGCCCUCUGUGCGGGUGGCAGCUGGGAGCCAGAACUGUGUCUGGCCAGGUGGGCAGCAGGCACCUCUGACAAAGGACAAUGGUGAUUCUUCAGCAGGGGGACUAUGUCUGGAUGGACCUGAGAUCCGGGCAGGAGUUCGAUGUGCCCAUUGGGGCGGUGGUGAAGCUCUGCGACUCUGGGCAGAUCCAGGUGGUGGACGAUGAGG
Myotis brandtii (Brandt's bat) is the source of this 383-nucleotide long non-coding RNA. RefSeq lists it as uncharacterized. The transcript has 3 exons. The record is from RefSeq and is a predicted model, not a curated record. Lineage: Eukaryota; Metazoa; Chordata; Mammalia; Chiroptera; Vespertilionidae.